AGUGAACGCUGGCGGUAGGCCUAACACAUGCAAGUCGAACGGCAGCACAGUAAGAGCUUGCUCUUACGGGUGGCGAGUGGCGGACGGGUGAGGAAUACAUCGAAAUCUACUUUUUCGUGGGGGAUAACGUAGGGAAACUUACGCUAAUACCGCAUACGACCUACGGGUGAAAGCAGGGGAUCUUCGGACCUUUCGCGAUUGAAUGAGCCGAUGUCGGAUUAGCUAGUUGGCGGGGUAAAGGCCCACCAAGGCGACGAUCCGUAGCUGGUCUGAGAGGAUGAUCAGCCACACUGGAACUGAGACACGGUCCAGACUCCUACGGGAGGCAGCAGUGGGGAAUAUUGGACAAUGGGCGCAAGCCUGACCCAGCCAUACCGCGUGGGUGAAGAAGGCCUUCGGGUUGUAAAGCCCUUUUGUUGGGAAAGAAAAGCAGCAGGUUAAUACCCCGAUGUUCUGACGGUACCCAAAGAAUAAGCACCGGCUAACUUCGUG
This 492-nucleotide ribosomal RNA is filed under the name uncultured bacterium. RNAcentral's name for it is "partial 16S ribosomal RNA". It matches the Rfam family "Bacterial small subunit ribosomal RNA", at positions 29 to 507 of the family's 1533-position model. The record is from RNAcentral.